GCCAGCAGCCGCGGUAAUACGUAGGUGGCAAGCGUUGUCCGGAAUUAUUGGGCGUAAAGCGCGCGCAGGUGGUUCUUUAAGUCUGAUGUGAAAGCCCACGGCUCAACCGUGGAAGGUCAUUGGAAACUGGGGAACUUGAGUGCAGAAGAGGAAAGUGGAAUUCCAAGUGUAGCGGUGAAAUGCGUAGAUAUUUGGAGGAACACCAGUGGCGAAGGCGACUUUCUGGUCUGUAACUGACACUGAGGCGCGAAAGCGUGGGGAGCAAACAGGAUUAGAUACCCUGGUAGUCCACGCCGUAAACGAUGAGUGCUAAGUGUUAGAGGGUUUCCGCCCUUUAGUGCUGCAGCAAACGCAUUAAGCACUCCGCCUGGGGAGUACCGUCCGCAGAAUGAAACUCCAAAGAAUUGACGGGGGCC
RNAcentral lists this ribosomal RNA (416 nucleotides) under uncultured bacterium. RNAcentral describes it as "bacterial SSU rRNA". It matches the Rfam family "Bacterial small subunit ribosomal RNA", at positions 507 to 921 of the family's 1533-position model. The record is from RNAcentral.